AUUACGAUGCGGCUAGGUAGGCGAUUUACGAACCCGUUCGGUGUCGAGCCGGUUCGUGAUGUCGGCGGUUUCUCGAUCGUGGAUUGGGCUUGGCGGGGUGUUGGAAACCCUAGGUAAUUUCGGAGCCUUUUGUUUUGUAUAAAACGGCAAUAGAGAAGUUACAGAAGGAAUUGCGAAAUUGAGAGAGAACGAAGUUGAGCGAGAAAUUAGGGUUUUCUGUUAUCUCUAGCGAGAGUUAUGUCGAAUCGAAUGGAGGAUUACGAAGAAGACGAGAUCGAGAUCCAGGAGGAGCGCAGCGGAGGAGGAAGAGGACGAGGGGGGAGUUUGAAGCGGGGGAGAUUGGAUUCUGAUGAGAUUCAGAGGCGGAAAGGUAGAGCUUCGAAUUCGAAGCAUUCGAAGCGGAAGAAAUUUGCAGAUGAGGAGGAUGAGGAGGAGGAGGAAGAAGGAGGUGGUGGGAGGCCUUUCAAGUCGAUGUUUGUGGAUGAUGAGGCUAUAGAGGAUGAAGAUGAGGACGAGGAGGAUGAAGAUGAGGGUGAAUUGGACGGGUUUAUUGUUGAUGAACCGGAAUUUGACGAUGAGCCUGAUGAGGUUGAUCAUGAUGGUGGCGGCAGCGGCGGCGGUGGUAGGAGAAGGACGGGGUUUGUGCUGCCCGAGGAAGAGGAGGAGGAGGAUAUUGAGGAGUUUGAAAGAAGGAUUAAUGACAGAUAUGGGCCUAUGCAUGUCGAAGAAUAUGAGGAUGAUACAGAAAUCGGGCAGCAGGCUCUUAUACCUGGUGUUAGGGACCCCAAAUUGUGGUUGGUGAAGUGUGCCAUUGGUAGAGAGAGAGAGGUGGCGGCUUGUCUAAUACAGAAGUGUAUUGAUAAUCCUGGAGAAUUGCAGAUCAUGUCUGCCGUUGCUUUGGAUCAUUUGAAAGGCUUCAUAUAUGUUGAAGCUUACAGAGAAGCCCAUGUGAGGGAAGCUUGCAAAGGUCUGCGGUAUGUAAUUCUUCAGAAAAUAACACUUGUUCCUAUUAAGGAGAUGACUGAUGUGAUAUCUGGGGAAAGCAAGACCAUUGUACAUGAUAAGUGGGUUAGGAUUAAGACCGGAAUAUAUAAAGGGGACCUUGCUAAGGUUGUGGGGCAUGUCCCAGGGAGACAGCAAGUUAGGGUUAAGGUCAUUCCGAGGUUUGAUUUACAAGCUCUUGCAGAGGGUGUAGAAUCGUCGAAGAAGGGAUCUGGUGCACGUCCUGAUCGUGUUCCUGCACUUCUUUGGAACAUGGACCUUGUUAGAAAUCAGGGUGUUCGUGUACAGUCUGCACGAGAUCCGUUGGGACGUGGUUAUAUUGAGAAGAUUGAUGGCUUACCUGGGAUGAUCUUUAAAGAUGGUUUCCAUCUUAAAGUUGUUUCUGAUAAAAGUAUAAAAGAGGCAAAACCCUCUUUGCAAGAACUUGAGGAAUUCCAGGAACUGAGAAGUAAGAAGGGUGAUGUAGUUGUUGAUUCAAUUCCAAAUAGAAAGAAAGGCGAAGGUUUUAUGAAGGGUGAUGCAGUUGUUGUUACAGAGGGAGAUCUGAGGAACCUAGUGGGACGGGUUGACAAAAUUGAGUUAGGAAUUGUUCAUUUCAGACCCGAAAUGGAAGGCCUCCGGAAACUGUAGCCAUCAAGCAAACAGCGCUUCAGAAAUGCUUCAAAGAAGGGCAGCAUGUGAAGGUUGUAAGUGGUAGUCAACAAGGAGCAACUGGUAUGGUUGUUACGGUUGAUCAGCAGAAGCACUUGAUCACCAUUUUAUCUGAUGCAACCAAGGAAGCUAUCUGUGUGUUCUCUGAUCAUGCUGUAGAGAGUUGCGAAGUGAAUAAUGGUGAUACAAUGGGUGACUCCCCCAGCGUAAGGUAUCACAAAACUCCUGCUCGAUUUCCGAGGUUUUCUGGGGGUGGAAGAGGGCGUGAUGGACAGGAUGGUUUCAGUAAAGGGAUCCGAGUAAAACUGCGGCUAGGUCCCUAUAAGGGAUGCAGGGGGCGUGUGGUGGAGGUUAAAGGAUCAAAUGUAAGGGUUGAACUAGAGUCCCAGAUGAGAACUGUUGUUGUUGAUCAUUUGCAUUGUAUUUCGGACUCUGAUAAUGGGGCUGCUGCAGCUACAACACCAUAUCGUUCAGGUUUUGAGACGCCAAUGCCUUACAUGCAGACUCCCAUGAGAGAUACUGGAGCAAUGUCAAUGCCUUACCUGAUGACUCCCCUUAGAGAUCCUGCAGCAAGCCCAACGCCUUACAUGAUGACUCCCAUGAGAGAUCCAGGAGCAACACCUUACAUGAUGACUCCCAUGAGAGAUCCAGGAGCAACACCUUACAUGAUGACUCCCAUGAGAGAUCCAGGAGCAACACCUUACAUGAUGACUCCCAGAAGAGAUCCCCGAGCAACACCAGUACAUAGUGGUAUGAGGACUCCUCCUAUGACUCCCAUGAGAGAUCCCCGAGCAACACCAAUACAUGGUCACGUGGGAACUCCUCCUAUAUAUUAGGGCUUUGAUUGUACUUCGGUUUGUCAAAUGUUGGAUGUGGUGAACAAAUUUACUUUUGUUUCCUUGGUCUUUCACUCUUUCUUUUUUCGUUCAGUUGUAUUAAUCUGAUAAUCUCAGUUUUCUUGUUUUUAGAAAUUCAUGCUUUUCACUACAUGAUUGAGUUGAAUACAUUGUUCUAUUUUGUUUUUCCAC
Fragaria vesca subsp. vesca is the source of this 2681-nucleotide RNA transcript. It is a transcript of the gene named putative transcription elongation factor SPT5 homolog 1-like, with no coding region annotated. The transcript has a single exon. The record is from RefSeq and is a predicted model, not a curated record. Lineage: Eukaryota; Viridiplantae; Streptophyta; Magnoliopsida; Rosales; Rosaceae.